UGAAGAGAACAAUGUAAAAUCAGUCAUAAUUGUAAUGACUGUUGGGCUAUUGAUGGACAAGCAUUUUAAGCAGACCCUGUUGAGUCCAGGCCACAAGUGUGAGCACUAUACCUUUGGUAUUCAGGGACUGUCUUUUUCAGCAUCUUCUUUCUUUUAGGCCAACAUUUCCAUAAAAUAGUGGGCCACUGUUCUCACAGUGGGUGUGUAUCACUAUGGCAAAUGGCAAGAAAGUCAGAUCAGGUUACCAAGUGCCCCUGGCUAGCUAUCAGAGCAAGACUAUGAAGCAUUGUUACAGUGCCAAGGAGGGAUUCUCAUCUACCGAAGGUGCUAUAGGCUAGAAUUAGGCUGUGUAAAAGGGCAGUUCACUAGGUUAAACAAAACCUAAUUUACUAUGUAGAGUGGGCAGGAGAGCUUUGCACUGCCUACAUUUGGGCUUUGAAUGAAAUCAAGAGAGUGCUUGACACCCUCGGUUCACCAUGGCCUGAGAGCAACAGUUCCUGCCCCAAGUAUGUUACAUCCAAUGUUACAUCCUGUCAUAGAUGGCCCAAGUUGCAGACAGCCCAGAUCAAAAUUUUGAAACAAAACAAGGGUUAACUGUUCUGCAAGACAUCUUUGAUAAAUAAGAGGCAUGGAAAGACUGGGGGGCCUUGAAUGAAUUCCCUGGGGCUUACUGUCCUGCCCUUUUCCAUUUCCAUUUCCAUCUCCCUUUCUCAGAUUGCUUCCAAGUCCUGUAUUCAGGUUUUUUCUGUGAAGCAUUGCUAUGUGUGUACAAAAGGUAAGAGCUGAGGGGUCACAGACAUGGGCAAAUGGUGUUUCUCAAGAGAGUGUGUACAUUUACAUGAGUAUGUAUAUGUUGUGGUACUGUUUCUGAGGGAGGGUUAUAGGGGAUGUGUGUGGUGCUUCCAUGAUGUAUGUGGUACAUGUAAUGUAUAUAGUGAUAGUAUUGAUCAUAGAAUCUGGAAUAGUAGACAAACCAAUUACCAUGGCCAUAAGGGAGUUUCUCAACUGAGUAAACUGAAGUGGGAAAAACCACUCUAGAUACAGACAGCAAUAUCCAUUGGUCUGAGAUCCCAAGCUGAUUAAUAACAAGGUGAAAGGAAGGGAGCUCUGGCAUUCUCUCUGUCAUUUAUGAUUGUGUAUGCAAUAUGACCCCAUGCCUCAUGUUCCUGCCACCAUGCAUCCUUCCCUUACAUGAAGGACUGCAUGCUUACUAUGAACUAAACUCACUUUAAGUUGAUAUUUUUUUCUGGCAUUGUUUGACAACCUCAACAAGAAAAGUAACUAAUACAGAAAACUGGCAUCAGGAGUGAUGCAGCAGCUAAAUCCUGACGGUGUGGUUCUUAGGCCUGUGAAAAUAGAUGCAGGAAAAUAGUCUGAAAGUUUGGAACAUUGACACAGAAAAGCCCAAGAAUGCAUGCGUGUGAUAAGUGUGCUUUGGAUGGAUGUGCGAGAGCAUGUGUAUGCAUGAUAUACAUAAUGUGAUACAGUUUGUGGAAAGGCUGUGGCACAAGUGGCUAAAACAGGCAUGUCAGGAGAAAGUGUGAUAAUGACUGUGCUAUGUAUGUUAGGGUGUUCUAUGUUGUUAUGUAUUGUGUGGAAGGGCAUAGAAUGUGUAAGAGCCACAUGAUGUGUUCUUAUGAUAUACACUACAUGUCUAAGCUUUUAUGUGUCUUGUAGUAUCUAGUAUAUAUUUAUGGGAAUUAUGGCAUGUAUUUAUAUUGUCUGUUACAUAGGAAUAGUAUGUAUAAUAUCUGUGACAUGUGGAUUAUAACUAAGAGUGAAAUAAAUCAUGUGAUGUUUUAAGUAGAAACCAGUCUGUCCUCUCAGGUAUUUUCUUGGGUGGUUCAGGAACAAGACCUAUCCAGAGAAACACAGAAAACAAUGGAUCGACUUCAUGCUCAGUACCACAGUCAUCAUGGAGUAUGCUGAUCCCUAACCCUGUGCAGAUAGGGCCCUGCCUCUCCUACAGUGCCCAUGUGGAUCGGGAGUGUGUGAGGUCUCCAAGCAGGAAGGUUUCAGCUGAGUUGGCAUAGCUCAGAACAGGGAUGGACUCUCAUGACUUUGUACUUAUUGAAUCAUGGAUUGCAGUAGGACUCCUAACUUCUCAGGAUCCUUCCCAGCUACAUUAGCAUGGAUACUCAGUAGUGAUCAUAGAUGAUGGUCCACACAGUGCCGCUAUAUAAUAAGGCACCUGAGAAUUCCAUCUUCUGGGUAGCCCCUCAUGAAAUGUAGAACAGAGAGAAUGUGGCAACCAAUUCUCCUGUUCCAACACUUUAAUGUUCUCCUUGCAGAUCCCUACCAAGUGAAUGUCAACGCACGAGGAUUUAAAAAUACAAAUGACCUGAGCCAAGUUAUUUCCGGGUUCACGUUCAGUGACUCCAGGGUUGUUGAUCCCUCUCAAGUGAAUGUCAACGGAUGAGGAUUUAAAAAUACAAAUGACCUGAGCCAAGUUAUUUGCAGGUUCACGUUCAGUGACUCCAGGGUUGUUGAUGAAAGCCCUACAGAUAUAACUGAUACCACCAUAAAUUGUCCCGGAACGAAGAUACAGCAUACUGGCGAAGAGACAGGCCAGCUGCUGGCACCACCCAUUUCCUUCAAGAAGACUGAUGGACACUAAAGAAGCUCCACCCACAAAAGUGGCAACAAUAGCCACUGAGAAAUCCUGUUGUUCAUCUCAACUGCUGCAAAAGGCUCUAUGGACCCUGGACAAGAGGGCAGUGGAAUCGACUUUCUCCAUGUUGCUUGGGCCAAAGGUAGGUAAAGUCUUCCAAAAGCUCCUAAUCCACAGUUCUCAUGCCAUCAGUAGAAGGCAGAUGUCCUUAAAGCCUCUGACUUCAACAACUGUGGAGGACCUGGGGUGGCUGUCCAUGCUGCCAGCUAGUAAGUCUGUGUUACUCUAAUCAUUCAGGAAAAAUUUUAUCCUUCUCAAGAACUCUGAUGCUUUUGAAGACUGGUAGCUUUGUCAGCUUAAAGCAGCAGCAAAGAAUCCAAUUGUUUCAAAACAGAUUUCAAAAAAAUGGGUAUUUUAAGGUUGCUCCUAUUUAUUGUCUUAACAUGAAUCAAUAAAGUUUUAAGAAGCUACUAAUCCAAUUCUGAGAGUAAUAAACACCAUACUAUGCCACUAUAUGAUGGUAACUAACUAUAAGCUUACAAUUAAGGUGCGUUACAUUGUGCUAAAAAUCUGCCAGUUGUAUGUGUUAAUUCUUUCAGCCAAAUCAUUUCUAAUAUGAGUAUGCUGCUAAUGUGUCUUAAUAUUUAUGUUUUCACAAACUAAAGGAUUCUUUUAAGUUCCAGGGAGCAGAAUUGGAUCCAUUUACAGGUCAGAUUCACUCCAAAUAAAUAUUACUCAACUUUUUCCUGGCCUCAGGACAGGACUUCCUUCCUUUGUCCCGGGACCCCCUUGGGAGCCCCUCCCCCACCUCACACUUCUCCCAUUAAGUACUAAGACCUAAGAGAAAAAAACCUAACCUUGUCCUCUGUUCUGCUAACAUCUUGCCAGGUCUCAAAGAGAUGCCAGAGCCCCAUACUGUCAGAACUGUGAUGAAACAACCAGCUACCAGGACUUGGCAACACCCCAGCUUUCUCUGAUCCCCCAAAGACAAUCUAUGCCCCCAAGUCUGCAGGAAGCAGUCUCCAGAACUCAAGGUCCUUAUUCCCUAACCUGCCACGCCCAACACCCACCUUUUUAAUAACAAUAAGAGGUGGGAAUGUUAGGAACUAGCAGCCAGCUGACCCCAGCCCUGACAAUGGGCUGGAUGCUCAUGGCCUUGUCAUCCCUAAGUCAGCUUUACCUGGCUGCUCAAGCUUUACCUGCCUGCCAGAGGACUCAGUUAUGCAUGCACAAGCCCCCUUUUAAAGCAAGUGCACCAAGCUCACCUCUCUCUCUGGUUCCUCUCUCUGGUUUCUCUCUUGCCCCAACUUGCUCUCUCUCUCUCUCUCUCUCUCUCUUUCCUGCUUUAGGUUGGCCACCAGCUACCCUCUCUUUCUCUUCCUUCUCUCAAUAAACUCCACAUGGCGCUGA
Molecule: RNA transcript, 4021 nt
Organism: Phodopus roborovskii (desert hamster)
Lineage: Eukaryota; Metazoa; Chordata; Mammalia; Rodentia; Cricetidae
Gene name: anthrax toxin receptor-like
Exons: 4
Source: RefSeq, a predicted model, not a curated record